UGACUUUGGUCAAAAUCAAACUGCUUUAAGUUUGACCAAGUUUAUAGGAAAAAAAGUAAUAUUUUUGACCCAGAUAAAUUUAUUAUAAAAAUAUAUUUAAUUAUUAAUUUAAUAAAACUAAUUUGGUAAUGCAAAUAUUACUAUAUUUGUCUAUAAACUUAGUCAAACUUGAAGCAGUUUGACUUUGACCAAAGUAAA
RNAcentral lists this microRNA precursor (198 nucleotides) under Oryza barthii. RNAcentral's name for it is "MIR1435 microRNA precursor family". It matches the Rfam family "MIR1435 microRNA precursor family". Lineage: Eukaryota; Viridiplantae; Streptophyta; Magnoliopsida; Poales; Poaceae. The record is from Rfam by way of RNAcentral.